UUCUAUGCAGCAUCAUUCCUUUGAGUCAUGUCAUGAAGAAUGUAGAGACUCCCAUCUUUUUGCCCUUUCAACAUUGUCAUACAACAUUUAGAAAUCUUUUAUGACCCAUUUUCAAAAUUCACUAUGAAACUAGAGUCAUCUAAUUGCCUGGCUGAAAUAAGGUUUUUCUUCAACUCAGGCCUCACAUUUCUCAAUGUAUGCUUCUUUCCAUCUGAUUGCUUGAUAACAACAUUUUCAAUGCCCAAGAUUAUCAACAAGAUAAAUCAAACCACCAACCACAUCUGUAUAGGAUGAAAAAUAUGACAUUUUUAGGCAAACAUGAAAUGAA
RNAcentral lists this long non-coding RNA (328 nucleotides) under Amborella trichopoda. RNAcentral describes it as "long non-coding RNA (ATRI_LNC000455)". The record is from RNAcentral. Lineage: Eukaryota; Viridiplantae; Streptophyta; Magnoliopsida; Amborellales; Amborellaceae.